RNAcentral lists this long non-coding RNA (272 nucleotides) under Physcomitrium patens. Its description in RNAcentral is "long non-coding RNA (PPAT_LNC002574)". The record is from RNAcentral. Lineage: Eukaryota; Viridiplantae; Streptophyta; Bryopsida; Funariales; Funariaceae.
UCAAGGACAGAAGGACGCAGCCACAUGCGCAGCAUUCUACUCCCCUCCAUCUGGUGGAACUCCUAACCCAACUCCUCCAUCCCCUGUUACACCCUCUCCUCCUCCACCCUCACCAUCUCCUCCUCCCCCCUCACCAUCACCUCCUCCUCCUACUCCUGUUACGCCCCCUCCACCUCACCCUGAGCCAGAGUGUCCAGAGGGUUACGCGCCUGGAUACAAGUCUGGCACCUGUUUCAUGAUAGUAAAGGAGCCAAAGACCUGGUCUCAAGCCG